AGCAUUACGAUCACACCGCUUCCUGUACAUUCACCGAAGUUAAGCAACGCUGAGCAUGGUCAGUACUUAUAUGGGUGACCGCUUGUGAACACCAGCUGCUGUAAG
RNAcentral lists this ribosomal RNA (105 nucleotides) under Acanthosepion pharaonis. The record is from RNAcentral. Lineage: Eukaryota; Metazoa; Mollusca; Cephalopoda; Sepiida; Sepiidae.